AACGAACGCUGGCGGCAUGCCUAACACAUGCAAGUCGAACGAUACCUCCGGAGCUAGUGGCGCAGGGUUACGUAACGCGGGGUAACCUGCCCUUGGGUUAGGAAUAACUCCCCGAAAGGGAUGCUAAUACAGGGUCAUGUCUUCGGACAAAAGAUUUAUCGCCGUUGGCUGGGCGCGCGUUGGCUUAGCUAGUUGGUAGUGUAACAGCAUACCAAGGACACGAUCCAUAGCUGGUCGGAGAGGAUGAUCAGCAACACUGGGAACAAGGCACGGCCCAGAAUCCUACGCAAGGGUGCAGAGUGUAAUAUAGUACGCGGGGCGCAAGCGUGAUCCAGCAGUGCGGGGUGAGAGAUGAAUCCCUUAGGGUUGUUAAGUUCUCUUACACGGGAUGAUAAUGACGGUACCUGCAGAAUAAGCUCCGGCUAACUACGUG
This 433-nucleotide ribosomal RNA is filed under the name uncultured bacterium. RNAcentral describes it as "partial 16S ribosomal RNA". It matches the Rfam family "Bacterial small subunit ribosomal RNA", at positions 29 to 507 of the family's 1533-position model. The record is from RNAcentral.